Molecule: long non-coding RNA, 4755 nt
Filed under: Homo sapiens (human)
Lineage: Eukaryota; Metazoa; Chordata; Mammalia; Primates; Hominidae
Description: PREDICTED lncRNA (TCONS_00002881)
Source: RNAcentral
CUCCCUAUCCUUCUAAGAGACCUGUCCCCACACCCAGCCCCAGUACCUGCUCCAUCCCAGAAUCACACUCCAGGACCUCUUAAUUCAUUCAACAUUUAUUGACAAUGAUCAUUUGUGAGGUACUCUGCAAGGGGCAGAGGAGUAAGAAUUGGUCCCUGCCCUCAAGGAACUCACAGUCUAGGGGGGGAUACAGACACACCAAUCCCAGUGCCUUAUUUAACAACAUUCUUGCAGUGGAAGAAUGAACACAGGGCUAGAGAAGCAGAGCAGGAAAGACAAUCUGUGCUUAGGAAAACUGCAGGUGGCCCCGCAUGCUAAAUCCUAUAGUGUAACUAGGAGUUUACUAGUUACCAGGCAGCCAGUGAGGGAAGUACCAAGGAGGCACGAUGUGUAGGGCACAUGGAGGUCUCAAAGUUUAAAUGGGCAUAACAUAUUCAAGAUGUGGCAAAAACUAGGUUCUAUCAUGGGGAACAAUGGGAGAUGAAGCUAAGGAGGUGGGCAGGGGCACGAUGGUGAAAGAGCUUGCAUGACAUGCAAGCGCCUUUCAUUUGUUUCCUGUAGGCGAGGAGCCAGGAAGGUCUUCAGAAAGAAAAUGCUGGCAGAAAUGGGGAGAAUUUUCAGGAAGAAACCAAAAGCUUAGGCAAGGAAUGAAGAGGGCCAAAAGCAGCGGAAUAAGGUGGAAAACAAAGGAUGGAUUUCAGAUGUAGAAGUGGCCACCAUGGGUGGGUGAUGGAAUCCAUGGGAGGGAGGAGGGGCAAGAUCAAAAACAACCUCAACAACAGGACAGAGGGCAGAGACUCUGCCAGACACUGCACUAGGUGUCUUAUAAACAUAAACACUAUGUCAAUGUCACCACUCUGUGAAGUAGGCAGAAUUAGCCCCAUUUUACAGAUGAUGUUCAGAAAAUUUAAAUAACUUCUCUAGUCACACAGCUAGAUUACAGAGUUAGGCUUCAAACCCAGGUCAACAUUUCAACCGUUAUAUUAUAUGGUAAAUCUAGACAGAGAUGGGUGGUAUGCUGUUUUGGAUAAUGAUCUAGAAUUUAGGGGGAAAUUCUGAACUAGAGAUAUACAUUUGAGAGUCAUCGCCACUGGGGUGGGUGAAGCCACAGAUGAGGCUAAGACUGUCCAGCAAGAAAACAGGCAAGAAUGAAGCUGGAAAAGCACUCACAUUAGAACAGGAGGGAGCAGGGGCAGGAGAGCUGGAAAAGGAAACUGAGAUGUGGUGAUGUCAAGGGAGAAUCCCAUGAAGAGAAUGUUGUGUACUGCAAAAAGCGAGAAUAUGACCAGUAUAUAAGAUCUGCAAUUACAAAGGCUUUGAACCAAAAUGCCUUGACCACUGUAUUGGUGGAGGCAGAGAGCAAGCAGUAAAGAGCAACAAAGGGCACAGGGAUGGGGUUGGGAGCCUCGAGGAGUUUGGAUUAAAAAAAGAUUACCUUGGCCGGGCACGGUGGCUCACACCUAUAAUCCCAGCACUUUGGGAGGCCAAGGCGGGCAGAUCACGAGGUCAGGAGAUCGAGACCAUCCUGGCUAACGUGGUGAAACCCCGUCUCUACUAAAAAAGUACAAAAAAUUAGCCAGGCAUGGUGGCGGACGCCUGUAGUCCCAGCUACUCGGGAGGCUGAGGCAGGAGAAUGGUGUGAACCCAGGAGGCGGAGCUUACAGUGAGCUGAGAUCCUGUCACUGCACUCCAGCCUGGGUGACAAAGCGAGACUCCGUCUCAAAAAAAAAAAAAAAAAAAAAAAAAAAAAAAAUUACCUUGAAGUGUUGCAGACUCUGUUGCAUCCACAACCCAUGAAGGAAGAGGGCCGGGCGAGAUGGUUAUGCAAAUUACUCCAGCUGCACUUAGCAGCUUAGGCUCAGAGAAGGAGAAACGGAAUUGCAGCAGGGGUUGGAAGUGAAGAAACUGGGCAGUGAGAGAGGGAAUAAGGGCCCUAAGGACUUUGGAUUCUUCUACAUGGAAAAGGUGCCCUUGCUGGGGCGCUAGUAAAGAUUUUUUUAAAUCUGAAUAAUUAGAAGGGCCCAUUAGGCAUUUUUUAACAAAAAACAAAGCCAGAGUUUACUUUUGUAUUAUGUAAAAAGGAUCUGAUUAACACAUAAUUGAUGUUAACAAGUUUAAUUCAAAAAGAAUAAACUGUUUUUUAAGUACCAGAGGCACUGCUGGAACAGGAUGAAAACUGAUACACCGGUUACUAAUUACUCUUCACUCUUCAAACUGAUUCCCCUAAAGACUUCUACUUAGCAAAUACUAUAAAAUACGCUCUGUACAGGAAAGAAAUAAUAGCACAUGUAUUUGUAUUUUAUUAUUCAGACUGGCUGCCAUCCCAACUAGAUAAAGGAGGUUUUACUGGGCUGUAAUAUCUAGCACUUGCAUGUUUUCAGAGCACUCUAAACUGGUUGUCUCACUCUUUUCACACGAUCAGCAGGGAACACGUUCCCCAUUUUGCAGGGAAACCAAGGCCAGUAGAGGUGAAGCGGCAUACCCCAGGUCAUCACUCAGAUCGCUUGCCUCCAAGUCCAAGGCUCUUUCCCCUCCCAAUUCUCCUGAUCUGUGACCUCCUGGGCAUUCUGGCCAAUCUGCUUCCCUCUGACUUUGCAGACUGCACUGAUGGAACUACCACUAAGGCAGGUGUGGAGCCUGCAAUCUCCUGACCAGCUUGUGCUUCUUGGUUCUUAUGCAAGCCAGUUCUCUCUGUGAAAUAUUUCUAAGCAGCCCUCAACCACCAGGUCUAUGAGGGUCCCUGUUGUCCCUCAGCCAAGGCUGCUCUCUCCCCUAGAUCCCCACCUCACCAGGGUCACAAGGAUACACACAACUAUUGCAGGAAACAUAGGUUCUUCCUGCAAUACAAUUAAAGCUGCUAACAUUUACUGAGUACCUACUGGUUGUUGUGAGGAUAUUGAGGUUCAGAAGGGCUAAGUGACUUGCCCAAGGUCAUCCAGUUAAUUGUUAAGGCAGUAUUCAUAACUCGAGCCUGUCAGACUCUAGAAUCCACUUUAUUUUUCCUCUGCUACACUGCCCUGGCUCCCUACCCUACAAGUGCUUAGAGAUCUAAAGCAAAGUAGAAAAGGAAAAGUGAGCAAGACGGAGGGGCUUUUACAUUUUCACUGCCUGGCUCCCAACCCAGACUCUGGCAAGGCUAAUUCCAUGAUGUUUCACUCAGCGGCAGUCCCACCAGCCUGGAGCCCUGGGGAGCUGACCAGAGUCAAAAGGCUCCCUGGCAGGCUUGUUCUGGCAGCUGCCCAGCCGACUUGUGCUAACACAGCAACAGGCACAGGAAAGAGUCUAGAAAGAGUGGAAAAGCACCAGACACUGAACCGCUGCAGGGAGAGAAGUGAUUCCUGCCGUGCUCGGAGAGGACCCUAUACUAAAGCCACCACCAUCAUUGGGCUGGGAAGAGACGGGGGUAAGCGGGGAGCAAAAAGCCCCAAGCACAUCCACUCACUCAUGUGUUUCAGUGAACUGUGACUGGAAGGCCAGUCAAAAAGAGGGUCACAUGCCUCCAAGGUGAAUCAGCAAGCAUGGAAGAAAACCGGUCUGCACCUUGGUUCAUCCCAGCAACCCUGACCUGUCUAUACCCACGUCCACAUAAACCUUGCUAUCUAAUGUCACCCGAGCAGAGGCAAGAGCACAUAUACUAUCUUACAGCCACCGCAACGGCUGAUUUCAGCCAGCCUGUGGGAAAGAAAGAUCUAGCUGAGAACACUAAUAGACUUGCUAGAGGAAGAAUUCAGUGACAAAGUGCCCUUGGAAAGGAAAGAAAAGAAUUUAAAAGGGGGCACAAUCAAAGUGAGACUGGAAGAAGGGAGCCACCUGGAUUCCCAAAGAUAGGGCUCUCUCGACCAGACACCAAGUGGAGGCCAACGGGUGGUGACAGGGAUAUUUUAAAAGAUCUGAAAAUCCAAAAAUGUCCAUGGGAAAUGUGUUUGCUAUUAUUUCUGUAGGCUUUCCAUCCUCACAUUUUUCUUAGGUUAUUAAGCUGCCUUUGUACAGGAUGCCCAAAAGUGUUUUGAGGGAAACCAAUUCUGGGAUCUAAUAUUUGUAACAAGUUGUUAGAUCGCCAAAAAAAAAAAAAAAAAAAAAACCAUAAUUAUAGGUGUCAUCAGAAGGAGGAGGCAGUUUGAGAGGUCACAAAUUGGCAGCCACUGGGUCAAAUUAACCCCACGGGUAUGAUAGCAUGCUUAGAAUUUUGUAUAAUGAAUUAUCAACACUUGAAAAUCAGAAGGUUACACACACCAAAAAACCCUGAAUUUCUAGCAUCUCUUCAUUUUUUUUUUUUUACCCCCUCUGGAGCUCUUAGAACAUCUUUUAGAAAAAUUCAAAAAUCUGGUACCACUGGAUGAGCAGCAGAUUGGAAGGUGAGUCACCACUGCCCCCUUUCGGCAGGUCUAUACUUUCUGCCAGCGUGGUGGCUCAUUUGUCACCUGACCUCUGUCAGCACUAGUGUUUGGUUUAGCCCAGGGAAGUGACUGCAGGCUUGGUAAUGCCCAGGACUGCCAUAGGGUGGCAGCACUGGUGUGCCGAUAAGGCCUGCUCAUCAGCCAGAACCUGCAGCCAGAACCAGAAAUCUCCUUACUUGGUAGCUGACAGUCUCUUCCCAAGUUCCAUCCGAUUUGUUCCCUGGGAAGCAACAGCAGCUCAUUUCCGCAUUCCCACUAGGCCUCAGGGAGCCUUAGAAGAAGCCAACGACUCAACCUGCUCCCUCCUCUCAGGCCACCACCAGGUCCUGGAAGGCACCUCCAGCUGGCACCUCUUCAC